This 5046-nucleotide long non-coding RNA is filed under the name Gossypium barbadense (sea-island cotton). Its description in RNAcentral is "long non-coding RNA (GBAR_LNC011245)". Lineage: Eukaryota; Viridiplantae; Streptophyta; Magnoliopsida; Malvales; Malvaceae. The record is from RNAcentral.
UUAUCUAUUUUAUAAUAAUAACUUAAUAUAUAUUUCAACUUGGCAUCUUCAUUUUCCUUUAUCCCCUAUUCAUAGAAUAUGCCUUUAGUUUGUACAUAAUUUUAACAUUGACACAAUAAAAAUAUUAUAUUAAAAGGUAAUUAAAACCGUUAUACCCUCUCCAUUUCAUCCAUCGUUGAGUUAUCCAAAGUCCAGUAAAAUUGGACGAAAUUUAAUUUUCUGACUUUGCCAGAAGUAUAGUCCUAACUUCACUUCACCAAAACAUCACAUCACAUGAGGCGGGCGAACACAAUCCCUAAAAAUAUAUGGUGAGAGAUUCUGUCAAUACGUAUCAAUUUAUGAUCUCUAAGAAUUAACAAUUCUCCAACCAGGCAUCUCAUAUAAUCCCCUCACAUUAGCACCAACAAGCUCCUAGCUAACAAUCCACCACUCUACCGCCUGUACCUAUGAAGUAAAACACUUGAUGAUUGAGAACCACGCCAAGCCAGUCUCUCUUUGUAAAUACUUCCUCUUGGCAUCAAGACAAGGGAUAGAUACACAAGAUCAACCAUAUAGCUUACACUCAACUCGAGUAUCACCUCUAACCCUCCGAACCUCCAUCCUUAGUGCUUCUCCAUGCCACAGGAGAUGUGGGCCACCACUUUGUAUUCCCUAACAUCUUAUAUAACUUAAUUGUUAUAAUAAUUGAUGAAGUCUAUGAGAAACAAACAAAAAAUUAUAUGGUUAUCGUUGGAGAGCUAUCAUUAUCAGGAUCAAGAAGACCAAGAUGCUAGCCAUUAUCAGCAUAACAUAAAAUUGAAUAUCGAGGUCAUGAUGACAAUAUAAAAACUUACCUUCCAUCUUUCCCACAAUUUUAACGAUGGGACAACCAUCACACUCUUUCAUAUCUUUUUAUUGAUUAUCAAGAGGAGAGAUAUUAUUAAGAUCCAAGGAUCAAAGAGGAUUUUCGAUCUACAACCCAAUAGUAUAGAGAAUUACAAGCCCUUUGGCUCAACUCUAAGAAUGUGCCCCGAAAGGAACCUAGAAAGAUAAUGAGAAGCUGAGAAAAGAAGAAGAAAAAGAAUCUUCUCGAGGCCAAAGAUGAUCUUUGGAACAUUAGUAUUGCCUUGACUUACAGGGAAACCAAACCACCACUUUGCCUAAUGGAGUAAAGAUGAAGCUAUAGUAGGAUACUGAAACUAUCAACGCCCAAAGCACCUGAAAAGGGUAUCACUGACACUCUUCUUUUAAUACUUGCCUUUGAAUACCUCACAAAGAAAAAUUCUUGGUGAAAGUAAAGGAAUAUUAGGAACCUUUCUUCCCAUAUGGUUUAGUCUAUAGAGGAAGAAGUCCAUAAUUGAGUGACUACUUCACAAUAAUAUAGGCCACACAACAAAUGACUACCUCAACUUGAAGGAUGCCAUUUAAGUAGAUGUAAGGAAAGGCCAAUCAAAGACAUUUACAAAAUGAAGACCUUGCUCCCAAAAAAGGAGGAAGGGAGACAUCAUGGUAAAAAGAAUCCCUAAAGCCUCAAAAUAUUGGUGAAAUAGAAGGAUGUCUUUGGAUUCUAGCAUACAACAACCAUCUCCUUUUAAAAAAUAAAGGCAAAAACGAGAGAAGGGCGAAUAGGUUCCCUCCAAGAUCAAGCACUUAGUGAGGCCAACAACACGAACCCUUUGUGUGAAACAAAAUGUUACUUGCCAAUGAAUAAACAAAAGGGGCAGCUUAAAAUAAAGUUAGAGUAACUUCUAAUAUAAAAGAUGCACGAGCUUAUAGGAAGAAAAAGACUCAGAUUAGUUUGAUGCACUUCCUUAUUAAGUUAGAGUGAGAAUACUUUAUUUAUGCCAAGAGAAGUAAUGUCAUGUCGAGCACAUGAAAAGGUCAAGGCACACAAAGGAAACAUUCACCACAUCAUAUCAUCUUCUUAGAUCUCCUUAUUAGAACAAAAAUGCCUUAUAGCUUAUUGAAUAGUGGCUUGAUGAGAGAAGAAGAUAAUCACAAACAAAGCUAACUACUUAAGUAUGUAAAAGUGAAGGCCUUCCUUCAAUGAGAGGUAAUGAAUGGAUCCCUUAAUGACUCCCUUCAUAUAAACAUGAUGGCUCCUUAAAUCUCCUUAUCAAAUGUAAGUGUAGAAAAUGCUACAUCUUAUCAUCACGAAUUAAAAGGACACGAGGAGAACCAUCCCAUAUCAAGCUCACUUGUGCAACCAUUGAGCGUAACAUCUUAGCCUUUAAAAUGAUAUAAAGGUGAAUAGAAAAGUUUCAGAAUGUGGAACAUGACUUACGGGGACCGCAAUAUAUCGGUGCAUGCUUGAUACAUUCCUUCGUAAGCUACAAAUAAAACAAGAAGAUGAAAAGAUUCCCUAAGAGGUCAAUGGAGAAAAGUAAAGGAUCUUCUAGUUGGAAAAAACGGUUUAGAAAAUAGUGCUUUAAGGCACAAUGAAAUUGCAAAUUUUUUCUUUAAAACCGAGCCAUUAUGAUAUUUAUAGGAAUAAGCAUUAACCAGAAUUAUAUUUGUGCUUUGUAUAAGACAAUUAAGUUAAUAAUGGCUCUCUACUAAACGACAUUCUCUACUAUUCUCGAACCAUGAAUUACUUUGAGUAUGGGAUCAAAGUAUCAUGAAUCAAUUGCACAGAAUGAAGACUUUAUUAAUUUUCAAUAGGAAAGGUCAUUCUCUUUAUAACCGAAAUUAUGCAUUUUCCAAGAAAAUAGAAUUUAUUCUAUAAAAUAAAAUUUCACUAUUUUUUAACAGAAUAACGACAUGAAUAAUGUGCAUUGAAAAGCUUAACACAUCAUUCCUAUUCAUAGAGAAACAGUACAAGAGUUCUAUUCGAAUAAGAUCUAAUUAAAUAACAAUAUUUAAAUAGUAAAUACAACUUCUAGUCUAAGUAGAAGAGUAAGGGGUGGCGACACCCUUAGAGUAAGGCCCCUUUUAUAUAUUUGGUCUAAUUAUAUGUGUUAUCGAGACUUUUAUCCAACACUUAUAAUUUAUUCAACCCAAUAUAUAUUUUUUAUUUCUCAAAAUAUUAAUUAAUUAAGUCAAUGAAAUAAAUUAACUAAAUUAAUUUCUCAAUUAAAUUAUUUUUUCAACCAAAUUCUAAUUCUGUUUAAAUCAUGAUAAUUUUAUUGUACUAGAAUCUAUGAAUAAAUAUAUUUAAUUGUCUUAUUAAAAAAAUCCAUAAUUAUUAAUUAAUUUAAUUCUCACUUCGAACUUUAAUUGUUUAAUUUCUAUUAAUUAAAUAAUUCAAAGAUCUUAAAUUAAUUUCUAAGUUAUCUUUUGUAGUUAGUGAGAAAACGCAUUUACUGCAUGUAGUGAUGUAUAUGGUAUAUUUCCCUUACUUUAUCGUUUUCAUUCAUUUCAUAUUAUUGGUUCUACAUGCAAUUCGUUUUUAGUUAUCUUGAGCUAGCGAAUGACUGAUUGAACAUAUAUGAUUAGAGCUUAAAUAAUUUGUAAUUAAGUUUCUGCUUUUUGAUCUAUUGUGAUUUGACAUGUUUAUUUGUUGUGCCUUUGCACACACUUUAGCAUAUUUUGAGUAGAAUCGAGUCAUUUUAGUGUCAAUUUGCGUUUUUAGGUUUUUAAGUAGUAAAUGAAUAAGAGUGGAACUCACAAGUGUUCACAAGUUUAAAAAAAAAACUAGGUAAAAGAUUGAAUUUUUGCACUUUAAUCUUUGAAAGCUUGUUUCUUAUCUUCAUUUGGGAGUCAUUGAACCAUAUUUGUACCAUCUAACAAGUCUGGAGAUGUUUGGAGUUGUUAGACACAAAUUGGAGCCGUUGCAACACUGAGUUGACACAUUAAUUAUAUUUUGCAGAUGACUUGUACCAAUACAAGUGUUUUGGUACCAAUAGAAGUCUUAAAAAUUAUAGCCAUUAGAGGUUGUGGUAUCAAUACAAGUGGGCUAAUAACAAUACAAGUCUGAGGGAAGAAUAAAUGGAACUUACUAUCUGACUUAUUGCGAUACAAUUCCUCAAGGGCAUUGAUACAUGUUUAUGGAAAAUUAGAGGUGCUCAUUGUCUGACUUGUUGCGAUACCAGUCUUGGCUAGUAUUGAUAUAACUCUAGUUGCAUCAAUACUCCUAGGGCUUUGUGCGGUACUUCUCCCUUAGAAUCAUGAGAGAUUAUUAUCUCAAUUGUAUCGACACAAGUGGGCCAGGGGUUUCGUAUAAGUUUCUAGACUUUACUAAAACAAUUGUAGAGGAAUUUUCAAGGACUUUUAGGAUUAUAAGAAAUACUCUAAAUCAAUUUAAUUAGAUUUAUGAGUUUGAAAACACUUGUGUAGGGACCCAAUUUUGCCCGGGCCCAUACAAAACAAAAACAAAAAAAUAAAAUAAACUAAACAAAAUAAGACUGGUCCAUUUACAACCAAUACCAAACCCAUUACAAGCCCAAACCAAAAUUAAACACCAGCCCAAAGCUAACUAAACCCAAACCCCCGACAAGUCAACUAACCCUAAGCCCAAACAACAAACAAAAAAACAACAAAAUGUUGCAUUUAUUUUUCUUAUUCUAAUAUAAAGAAAUUGGCUUUUGAUUUUUUUUUUUACCUACAUAGACAAUCAAUACAAAAAAAUAACUAGGUUACGAAUACAAAAAAAUCAAUAGAGAGAAAACAAAUAGAUUGAUCAAAGGAAACAGUAUUGGCCAAAGGUGAUUGUUUUAGUUUUUUUUUUUAAUCCCCUCUUGAUACAAAUAUUGAUAGAAAUACAUAAAAAAAUAAAAAGGAGAGAACACUUACCAGAGGCGAUUCCUCUUCUACCGUCGUCAGAGGCCGCGGCAUCUGAAUACCUCUAAACCCCUUAGGGUUCUGAUGAGGAUUUGGAAGACGAUAGAGGCCUAGUUCUCUCCCCUUCUUAUGCAUUACUUUCUUUUGAUUUUUGAAGCAAAAAGAAACCCUUUUUUAGCUUUUAGAAAAGGGACUUAAAAGGGGUUUGAGGAGGCCGAUUUUGUACGUUUUCGAUGGUCGGCUACGAUGGAGCCAUGGCGGAGGCUCACCGAGCCCUAUGGCCGGAAUAUAGGUUCUCCCCAGAGAGAAAAGAGCCUCUCUCUCCCUUUUUCUUUAAAGAACACAAAA